RNAcentral lists this microRNA precursor (100 nucleotides) under Drosophila virilis. Its description in RNAcentral is "microRNA dvi-mir-958 precursor". Its record names the gene dvi-mir-958. It matches the Rfam family "mir-958 microRNA precursor family". The record is from miRBase by way of RNAcentral. Lineage: Eukaryota; Metazoa; Arthropoda; Insecta; Diptera; Drosophilidae.
UUGAUCGGUGUGGAUUGGCAAGUAGAAUAGCAGGCUUAUCACAUGUACAAUUCAACCUAGUGUGAGAUUCUUCUAUUCUACUUUCGACAAACACCAGCUA